AAAGAAUCAUUGCUCUGCUGAAGGGAGGGGAGGUGAAAACCUCAACAACACUAUGAUGGGGAGAGAUAGCAUAGAUGAAGUACAUCAUACCAACAACUCCGCUGGGGAUCUAUCCGAGGAAAAUGACGAAGUACCGGGAUGUCAAUCCACCAACUACCGAAUCUUCCAAAAGGAAAGCACCCAUGUUGAGGAGAGAAUACUGCUGGAGAAGAAAAUCGAAGUCUCCAACAAGCACUCUGAGUGAGGAGGAGUCAUAAUAAAG
Molecule: long non-coding RNA, 262 nt
Filed under: Lathyrus oleraceus (garden pea)
Lineage: Eukaryota; Viridiplantae; Streptophyta; Magnoliopsida; Fabales; Fabaceae
Description: Pisum sativum (pea) long non-coding RNA (PSAT_LNC014580)
Source: RNAcentral